UUUAUUAGAUAAAAAGCCAGUUCAUGCUUUUACAGUAUGAAAAUUGGUGAUUUAUAAUAACUUAGCAAAUCGCAAAGUGAAAACAGGCGAUAAAUCAUUCAAGUUUCUGACCUAUCAGCUUUCGACGGUAUGGUAUUGGCUUACCGUGGCAGUGACGGUUAACGGGGGAUUAGGGUUCGAUUCCGGAGAGGGAGCCUGAGAAACGGCUACCACAUCUAAGGAAGGCAGCAGGCGCGCAAAUUACCCAAUUCUAACAGUUUGAGAGAGGUAGUAACAAGAAAUAACAAUACAAGGCAGUUAAAAUGCUUUGUAAUUGGAAUGAUAGAAAUUUAAACCCUUUUUAAAGUAUCAAUUGGAGGGCAAGUCUGGUGCCAGCAGCCGCGGUAAUUCCAGCUCCAAUAGCGUAUAUUAAAAUUGUUGCAGUUAAAAAGCUCGUAGUUGAAGUUCUGCUGAAAGUAACCGGUCUGCUUUUAAUAAAAGUGGUAUCUUGGUGUGUAUUUAGCAAUGAUGUCCUUUGAAGUGUUUUUUACUUUAUUGUAAUAAAGCAUAUUCAGGACUUUUACUUUGAGAAAAUUAGAGUGUUUCUAGCAGGCUGACGCUUUGAAUACUGCAGCAUGGAAUAAUAAGAUAG
Molecule: ribosomal RNA, 631 nt
Filed under: Hepatozoon canis
Lineage: Eukaryota; Apicomplexa; Hepatozoidae
Description: bacterial SSU rRNA
Rfam family: Eukaryotic small subunit ribosomal RNA
Source: RNAcentral